Molecule: ribosomal RNA, 253 nt
Filed under: uncultured bacterium
Lineage: Bacteria
Description: partial 16S ribosomal RNA
Rfam family: Bacterial small subunit ribosomal RNA
Source: RNAcentral
UACGAAGGGGGCUAGCGUUGCUCGGAAUUACUGGGCGUAAAGCGCACGUAGGCGGCUUUCUAAGUCGGGGGUGAAAUCCUGGAGCUCAACUCCAGAACUGCCUUCGAUACUGGAAAGCUCGAGUCCGGGAGAGGUGAGUGGAACUGCGAGUGUAGAGGUGAGAUUCGUAGAUAUUCGCAAGAACACCAGUGGCGAAGGCGGCUCACUGGCCCGGUACUGACGCUGAGGUGCGAAAGCGUGGGGAGCAAACAGG